AAUGGGCGCAAGCCUGAUCCAGCAAUGCCGCGUGUGUGAAGAAGGCCUUCGGGUUGUAAAGCACUUUUGUCCGGAAAGAAAACCUCGUGGUUAAUACCCGUGGGGGAUGACGGUACCGGAAGAAUAAGCACCGGCUAACUACGUGCCAGCAGCCGCGGUAAUACGUAGGGUGCAAGCGUUAAUCGGAAUUACUGGGCGUAAAGCGUGCGCAGGCGGUUCGCUAAGACAGAUGUGAAAUCCCCGGGCUUAACCUGGGAACUGCAUUUGUGACUGGCGGGCUAGAGUAUGGCAGAGGGGGGUAGAAUUCCACGUGUAGCAGUGAAAUGCGUAGAGAUGUGGAGGAAUACCGAUGGCGAAGGCAGCCCCCUGGGCCAAUACUGACGCUCAUGCACGAAAGCGUGGGGAGCAAA
This 410-nucleotide ribosomal RNA is filed under the name uncultured bacterium. Its description in RNAcentral is "bacterial SSU rRNA". It matches the Rfam family "Bacterial small subunit ribosomal RNA", at positions 370 to 772 of the family's 1533-position model. The record is from RNAcentral.